Molecule: ribosomal RNA, 253 nt
Filed under: uncultured bacterium
Lineage: Bacteria
Description: partial 16S ribosomal RNA
Rfam family: Bacterial small subunit ribosomal RNA
Source: RNAcentral
UACGUAGGGUGCGAGCGUUGUCCGGAAUUAUUGGGCGUAAAGAGCUCGUAGGCGGUCUGUCGCGUCGGCUGUGAAAUCCCGAGGCUCAACCUCGGGUCUGCAGUCGAUACGGGCAAACUGGAGUGUUGCAGGGGAGACUGGAAUUCCUGGUGUAGCGGUGAAAUGCGCAGAUAUCAGGAGGAACACCGGUGGCGAAGGCGGGUCUCUGGGCAACAACUGACGCUGAGGAGCGAAAGCGUGGGGAGCGAACAGG